Molecule: long non-coding RNA, 228 nt
Organism: Ctenocephalides felis (cat flea)
Lineage: Eukaryota; Metazoa; Arthropoda; Insecta; Siphonaptera; Pulicidae
Exons: 2
Source: RefSeq, a predicted model, not a curated record
AAAAAAAUAAAUUAAAUAAAGAGGAUCAGGAUGAUUAUAAAAUGAAACACUAUCACGUUUUAUACUUCUUAUUGUUUUGCGUGCGUCAAACGUUUAUUUGCCACCUGUUGUCAUAAAUAGAAGAAUUUCAAACUAAUUUUAAUUUUUACCCGGUAUCCUUAUUAAAAUUUUCUCAUGUGGAUCUAGACUGAUUUAGCUAGGUCUAGAAAAUUUGAUAUAAAAUCCACA